GGACAAUAUCCUCACAUCAAGCUUUCCAAAACAGUCAGAUGCAACUGGAGCAAGUGAAAUGAUUAAUCUGCAUGGAGUGUGGAGGGGGAGCAGAAGUGAAGCCAAAGGAAUGAACAAGUUAAUUUCACAAGACUAAGCUGUGUGAAGAUGCAGAAAUCAUCAAGACAGGGCAGCAGAGGGCCAGGUCAUGUGGCCGAGGACACCAGCUGGUCAGCAGAACAGUGAG
Long non-coding RNA from Canis lupus familiaris (dog), 226 nucleotides. RefSeq lists it as uncharacterized. NCBI's taxonomy places the organism in Eukaryota, Metazoa, Chordata, Mammalia, Carnivora, Canidae. The record is from RefSeq and is a predicted model, not a curated record. The transcript is spliced from 3 exons.